CUGUAGUCCCAGCUACUUGGGAAGCUGAGACCGGGGAAUCACUUAAACCUGGGAAGUGGAGGUUGCAGUGAGCUGAGAUCGUACCACUGCACUCAAGCCUGGGCAACAGAGCGAGACUCUGCCUCAAAAAAGAAAAGAAAAGAAAUGACAAUUCCAAUGAACAGAGGAUUAGGAAAAGGCUGAUGUUUGCCCCAGGGACUCCUGGGAAAUGUGGUUUUCUCCUAUCUCCAGCAAAGGCUGAUGGGAGGUAACCAAGCCCCCUUCUCUUCUUGCCUCAGGGACUGGAAUUGACAUCCCUGUCCUGCUCCUUCUGAUUGAUGGUGACGAGAAGAUGUUGAUGCAAAUAGAGAAUGCCACCCAGGCUCGGCUCCCCUGUCUCCUGGUGGCUGGCUCUGGAGGGGCUGCAGACUGCCUGGCGGAGACCUUGGAAGACACUCUGGCCCCCGGGAGUGGGGGAGCCAGGCAAGGUGAAACCCAAGAUCGAAUCCGGCGUUUCUUUCCCAAAGGGGACCCUGAGGUCCUGCAGGCUCAGGUGCAGAGGAUUAUGACCCGGAAGGAGCUCCUGACAGUCUAUUCUUCUGAGGAUGGGGCUGAGGAAUUCGAGACCAUAGUUUUGAAGGCCCUCGUGAAGGCCUGUGGAAGCUCAGAGGCCUCAGCUUACCUGGACGAGCUGCGUUUGGCUGUGGCUUGGAACCGUGUGGACAUUGCCCAGAGUGAACUCUUUCGGGGGGACAUCCAGUGGCGGUCCUUCCAUCUCGAGGCCUCCCUCAUGGACGCCCUGCUGAAUGACCGGCCCGAGUUCGUGCGCUUGCUCAUCUCCCAUGGCCUCAGCCUGGGCCACUUCCUGACCCCGACGCGCCUGGCCCAACUCUAUAGCGCAGCGCCCCCCAACUCGCUCAUCCGCAACCUUUUGGACCAGGCGUCCCACAGCGCAGGCACCAAAGCCCCAGCCCUAAAAGGGGAAACUGCGGAGCCCCAGCCCCCUGAUGUGGGGCACGUGCUGAGGACGCUUCUGGGGAAGAUGUGUGCACCGAGAUACCCCGCCGGGGGCACCUCGGAACCUCACCCAGGCCAGGGCUUCGAGGAGAGUAUGUGUCUACUCCCGGACAAGGCCCCCUCAAAGCCCUCGCUGGACGCUGGCCUUGGGCAGGCCCCCUGGAGUGACCUGCUGCUUUGGGCACUGCUGCUGAACAGGGCACAGAUGGCCAUGUACUUCUGGGAGAAGGGCUCCAAUGCAGUUUCCUCAGCUCUUGGGGCCUGUUUGCUGCUCCGGGUGAUGGCACGCCUGGAGCCUGAUGCUGAGGAGGCAGUGCGGAGGAAAGACCUGGCAACCAAGUUUGAGGGGAUGGGCGUUGACCUCUAUGGUGAGUGCUAUCGCAGCAGUGAGGUAAGGGCUGCCUGCCUCCUCCUCCGUUGCUGCCCGCUCUGGGGGGAUGCCACUUGCCUCCAGCUGGCCAUGCAAGCUGAUGCCCGUGCCUUCCUUGCCCAGGAUGGAGUACAGUCUCUGCUGACACAGAAGUGGUGGGGACACAUGGCCAGCACCACACCCAUCUGGGCCCUGGUUCUUGCCUUCUUUUGCCCCCCACUCAUCUACACCCACCUCAUCACCUUCAGGUCAGUCCCCUGGGGUGACAGUGGUGGGAAUGGGGGUGGAGUGCUCAGUUUCUCCUUCCCGCUUACUCCGCCCACCUUUCUUCCCUGGUCUGCCCAUUAUACUCCUUCCCUGGGAAUGGGACUCUCUCUCCCUCCACUAAGGGAGUAUUGUGGGAGGUGAGUUUUGGGGGGAUCCUCCCUAUGGUGUCUCUCGUAGCAGUUUCUCUGCCUUUCUGGUCCUGGCUCUCGAGGAAGCUCCCUUUUGGGUGACGUUAAGGGGCCACCUCUCUGUCUGUCUGCCACGUGUCCGGGGGAAGAGGUUUGAGUUUUUCUGGAGAACUCCUCUCCACCUUCUCUUCCCCUCAUUUCUCACUCUGUGCCUCCCUCCUUGCCAGGAAAUCAGUAGAGGAGCCCACACAGGGGGAUCUGGAGUUUGACAUGGAUAGUGCUGUUAAUGGGGAAGGGCCUGUCAGGUGAGUGGACCCCCCAGCACUGUGUGGGGUGGGGACACCCUGGGCGGCUUCAGGACAUGUGCCACCUCCAUGCUGUUAGUCCCCUCUUGAGUUGCUACAAAGGAAUACCUGAGGCUGGGUAAUUUAUAAAGAAAAGAGGUUUCAUUGGUUAAUGGUUCUGCAGGCUGUACAGGAAGCAUAGUGCUGGCAUCUGCUACUGGUGAGCCCUCAGGACACUUCUGCUCAUGGCAGAAAGUGAGGGAGGAAUCGUUAUAGCUAACGAUUCUAUAGAUCAACGAGAUAGAAAAUUAACAAGGAUAUUCAGGACUUGAACUCAGACCCAAAACAAGUAAACUUAAUAAACAUUUAUAGAACUCUCCACUUCAAAUACACAAAACAUACAUUACCACCUCACACCUAUUCCAAAAGUGACUACAUAAUUGAAAAUAAAUCACUCCUCAGCAAUUGCAUAGCAUUUC
Molecule: long non-coding RNA, 2524 nt
Organism: Aotus nancymaae (Ma's night monkey)
Lineage: Eukaryota; Metazoa; Chordata; Mammalia; Primates; Aotidae
Source: Ensembl